UUUGUUAGCACAUAUUAGUCUCAUGGUGAAAAAUUGCAAUUGUGGUGCAAGUUACUACAAGGAAAAAAAUUGUUUGUCGUGGUAAUCUUUAAUCAAAAUCUGAGAAGUUACUUCCGGUCUACAAUGACGUUCCUUCUCUGAUGACGUCAGUUUGACGGCUUAGGUUAUAGAUGCUUAAACCACUCCCCUCCAACCAUUAGUCUGCUAUGAGCGAGAGAUUGUAAAGGACAAGACGUUACCUGUUUUAUUAUUGUAUCUUAGCUCCAUUAUAAUUGUUGAUUUCUUAGUGUGUAGUGUGUAAAUCACUUGUAGUACCACUAAGAGCAGUUUGAGGGCGCUAGUGCCGGGAGGUAACCAGGCAUAUAAGCUUGGCCACCAUAGAAUAAGUAGCUGUUUGGUAGAGGGAAGCCUCAUGGUUUGAACUCAAGUUACCUUCUUGCUCAUUUAAAGUCCUUUGAGAACUCUGUGUUUCUGCUCAACUAAAGGACUUUUUUUAUGUCAUGUGUGUCGUAUCAUGGUGUUCAUUGUGAGAGAACUUAAUGGUAAUAGGAGACCUUGAAGUCCAGUUUAAGUCAAGCUGGUAGGUAGGCUACAGCACAUGGCCUUAACUCACACAGUGGGCGACUCAACAAAUGACGUUGAACGAUUAUCUCACUCAUGGUGGAUCAUAGGACUUCAAACAUUGCAUCGCACUCAAAUAACCUUGUGGAUAUAAAGCUCAUUUCAUCUUCAUCACUUCAACUCAAGCACCUAAGUUUACUUCACCUCACUGACUCAUUUAAAAGAGAAAGCUGGCUUAAGUUUAUUCAUUGACUUUGUGGCACAUGUAAAUAAGCACUUGUGGGGAUAAUAAAAUGGGUUUAAAAGAUCA
Molecule: long non-coding RNA, 871 nt
Organism: Ctenopharyngodon idella (grass carp)
Lineage: Eukaryota; Metazoa; Chordata; Actinopteri; Cypriniformes; Xenocyprididae
Exons: 2
Source: RefSeq, a predicted model, not a curated record